CAACCAUCGCUUCUAUAAGACGCAAUGCCAUUUCCCCCCCACUUUUGGGGGAAAAAAAGUUAGUCUUAUAAAGCGAAAAAUAUGGUAAUACAAUUGCAGCAUUGUUGGGUCGGCCAAUUGGCGAUUGCGAUAUGGCGAUUUAUUGCGAUUGCUUUGGUGAUAUAUUGUGCAGGCCUACUAAAGAGUAUGGAG
Long non-coding RNA from Bufo bufo (common toad), 192 nucleotides. RefSeq lists it as uncharacterized. The record is from RefSeq and is a predicted model, not a curated record. The transcript has 3 exons. Lineage: Eukaryota; Metazoa; Chordata; Amphibia; Anura; Bufonidae.